Molecule: long non-coding RNA, 4113 nt
Organism: Manis pentadactyla (Chinese pangolin)
Lineage: Eukaryota; Metazoa; Chordata; Mammalia; Pholidota; Manidae
Exons: 4
Source: RefSeq, a predicted model, not a curated record
UCCAAGAAUAUUUAACCCUGAGGCCAGCUUACUUUUAGGAGGGGCUGUAGGCUGGAUCAUUCUGGGGGUGUACCAAAGUUGAGGGGCAUGGAGGGAGAAGAAGAGAAGCUUAAGCAGUCUGGCUGAUAAACAUUUUGUUCCAAUUUGCCAGUGGAAUGAGUAUUUCAAAAUAAUAAUUUAUGAGGCCAGGGAUGGGAAUUUAGAGGGUCUGUGCCUGGCCUUGUCAUAGGUAAACAAGAGGCUUUUGUGAGUCUAAUGUAAUCAUAUGGGGAAGGGUGGUUUUUCCAGUAUGCUGUUUUGUUUCCUGAAACACAAAAGGGUCAAGUUUCUUUUAUAUUCCCUCUUUCCAGGAGCACAGGGUGCAGGUACAAUUCAGCAUUGGCAAAUAUCUAUUACCUAAUGUUGAUAUUAUUUGUUAUUAUAAUAGUAAAAUAAUGAUUGUUAUUGUAAAACUUGUUUGAAACCAGAAGAAGGAAUUAGAGACUAAAGACUCACAUAUAUGCAUUUAUUCAUCAACCUUUUGUUGUAAGGCCAAAGGCUUUCUUUUGAAUCUGAUGAUUAAAAUUUCUUCCUGGUAGAAACCACACAGGAAGUGUGUUGUCUAGGCUGUUCGUCUUCAGGUUCCUGAAGUAACACAAAGAAACUUGACAACAAGCACUCAGUAUGAAAUCUAGAAGAUUUUUGCAUUUACUUCGCAGUCUUCCUUGUUUUAUAACCUAAUGCAAAGCAACUAGCUUAUUAUUAGUUAUUCAUUUUAUUGUUCUUGUUAUUUUAGUAAUUUGUCUUAAUAGUCUUCCUAAUAUAUUGAACAGGGAAAUGACCGCUUUCAUUAACUGCACUUAUAAAAUAUAAGUGAACAUGUACCGAAUCUUUUAGAAAGGCUCCAUCAGGCAAGUUACUAAAAUUGCAUUCAAGCAAGUGUUAAGUAAACUGAUAACGUGUAAUUGCUUGAGGUCUGCCCUUUGCUUUGAGCUUCUGGGAGGUAACUCCUAAGCUCUUGGAAUGUGCUGCCUGAUAAGAGUGUAUUUGUUUACCUGGGGACCUUGGGCCCACCUGGACAGUUUAUCUAACAAUGUGAAUUAAGGUGUGGUCUUGGGUGAUGAAACAGAUCAAUCUUUGUAGGAGUAGAGACAAAGUUCAGCUGUGGAGGUGGUCAGCCAUGGAUGUGUGACUACAUCCUAAUAAAAGCUCUGGAAACCAAGGCUUGGUGAUUUUCCAGGUUGGCAGGGCUUCAUGUGCAUUGCCAUACAUCAUUGUUAGUAAGCCCUGUUCGCUGCAAGAGGACAACUGGAAGAUUGUCUCUGGAACUUUUCUGGAACCUGGCCUAUGUGCUUCGUCUCUUGCCUGACUUUAGUCUGUAUCCUUUUGCUAUGAUAAGCCAUAAUCAAGCAUAAUGGUUUUUCUGAGUUGUGUGAAUCUAACAAAUUAUUAUUAUUUUUUAAAAAUUUUUUAUUAAGGUAUUAUUGAUAUACACUCUUAUGAAGGUUUCACAUGAGAAAACAUUGUGGUUACUACAUUUACCCAUAUUGUCAAGUCCUCACCCAUACCCCAAUGCAGUCACUGUCCAUCAGUGUAAUAAGAUGCCACAGAGUCACUGUUUGCCUUCUCUUUGCUACACUGUUUUCCCUGUGACCCCCCACACCAUGUGUACUAAACAUAAUACCCCUCAAUCCCCUUCUCCCUCCUUCCCCACCUCCCCUUGCACACCCCUCCCCUUUGGUAACCACUAGUCCCUUCUUGGAGUCUGUGAGUCUGCUGCUAUUUUUUCCUUCAGAUUUGCUUCCUUGUUAUACUCCACAAAUGAGGGAAAUCAUUUGGCACUUGUCUUUCUCCGCCUGGCUUAUUUCACUGAGCAUAAUGUCCUCCAGCUCCAUCCAUGUUGUUGCAAAUGGUAGGAUUUGUUUCUUUCUUAUGGCUGAGUAGUAUUACAUUGUGUAUAUGUACCACAUCUUCUUUUUCCAUUCAUCUACUGAUGGACACUUAGGUUGCUUCCAUAUCUUGGCUAUUGUAAAGUCUAACAAAUUAUUGAACCUGAAAGUAUUCUUGGAGACUCCCAAACUUUGCACUUUCUAAUAAAUUCAACAGAGAAAUACCACUCACAUUAAGUAAACAUAUAAAACAUAAGUAUAGAAUAGUAUGUUUUUAACAGGCUCCAUAUCAGCAAGUUGCUAAAAUGAAUUGUUCAAACAAUUACUAAAGAAACUGGUAACAUAUAAUUGUUUAACUAAUAUGAUUACAGUAGCAGAUAGACAGUUUGCUUAAUUCCAUGUGUUGAAUAUAAUGGAUGUCAGUAAAAAGAGCUUGUACUGUAUGUUGGUUAAAAGAUAAGAAAGCCACUGUACCUGAUAUUGCUCCCUUCAGACAUGAAUUUCUAGCUGAACUAUGUAUGACAGUGUGAUACCCAAAAGGGAUCUUUUACUCAGAACAUUUUAUAGAUAGUUCUAAACUCCUGGACAUGUAGAAAUGACUGAAUUUACAAACCCUAAUGUAAAAUAUUUACAAUUUGCCAGGCAUACUUCUGGCCAAUAAACUCAAGGAUGUAUUGUAGGAUCUGAUAUAAAUUCUCAUUUCUAGCACAAUACAAGACUGAUGAUUAUUAAAAAAGUACUUCUAAGAGAAUAGUUUUCAACUGAACUAGAUUCUUUUUCAGUCAGAUCCUACAGAUACUUCUGUGGCUCCUAAUUCUUUCAUCUUACACAUACUCAUAUUUUGUAUGGCACUUUGCCCUGAGGUUUUUAACUUUGCCCGUGCAUUUACUCAAAGAAAGUGGACAGGUUUUCAUCAAUUGGUUUAUAUGUGCUUUGUCUUUCUCCUUCAUAAACUAAGUGCUGGCUGGCUGUUUUGUUGGUGAAGACUGGAGAUGAUGGCAUCGUAAUGAAGCUCACUGCUUCUGCGGUAGGGUCCCCGUUCCUCACUCUCCCUCCUGGACAGCAUUUUCUUUCUUAAGAGGAGUGUGCUCCAUGUGUAUGUAUCAUCAUAGGCAUGUAAAAUUCAUUUAGGGCUAAAACAAAGUCAUUUUAUGUUUGACAUCAAGGCUAAAGUGGAAUCUCCUUAAUGAAGAGCAUACUAAACAUUGGAGCAGAAGCUUAUCCCGUGAUAUCUUUCAAUCACUUCAUGUUCCAUUUGGGUACAUUACACUAAAAACGUGGGAGAAGGAUGGCUGGUAAUUUAUCUUUGCUCAAUGUAGAUGUACUCCCCAGCCUUUUUUAUAAGAGUGAAAGGCUUUUCCAAAAUAGAAUAGAGCUAAUUCCAUAAUGUAAAUCCAGAAGAGAGAGAGCUAUCCCAAAGUGAUAAGUCACUACUUUUUGUUCCUGUAACAAAAAUGUCCACUCUUUUGCUUUCUCUUCCCCUUCCCAUUUCUUCUUUUAAUGAACAGUUCAGUUCUAUAGUCAAAAGGUGUGACAGAACAAGGUAGGCAUCCAUCCCUGGUGGUGAGGGUGACCCAGUGGCGCGGAUCAGCACAUGUUGGAGCCUGAACAGUAUUAGAAGGACACUGUUCCAUGUGAGAGGGCAGUUCACAGGGGACCAUAAGAGCCAGAAGGGUGAGAGGUGGGAGCUUGAAUGUGUCUCUCCUGGCUUCAUACCACAACUAUAAUCAAACUACAGGACUUAUCUUGAGCUGAGCAGCAACUGGGCCUGGAGGAUGUAACACCUUUGGAUUCUAGAGGGAGAAAAAAAGUUGAUGGAAAAUUUCCCUCCUCUGUAUUGGGGGAGAGUUUGGAGGCAGUUGACAGAGACCCAUUGGGACAACGUAUGCACUAGAUGGCUGAAGAAAAAGCUCUCUCAUCACUGGACGUCUCAAAGAGUGAGAAAAAAGUAUCACUGGAUCCUCAACAAUGGGAAAACCAUUCCUUCACUCACGUGCCAGAUGCUCCCAAGGCUAUGGCCACAAUGCUCGCGAGGCCUCCUAUCACACCAGUAUUUCUGCCUCCAGUUGGAAAAUAAAUCAGCUCCUGUCACUUUGUGGACAUUAUUUGUAUUGAUGACUGUUCUACCUACCACCUUUUAGAGCUUCCAUUAGUGUCUCCUUUUUCUUCAUAACCCAAGGUAAUGCCAUGGAAGCAGGCUGCUGGUCUCACUCAGUGAUUCAACUUAGAAUUUUUCCAGAGCAAA